GGAUUAAGUCACCUUUGAGGGAGAUUUGUGUUCGGAGACAAGUGGGAUUCACUUGAAAGGAAGAAGACACUUCAAAUCACUCUUUCCAAAACACAUUUUUCCCGCAAGAAACUGCAAGAAUAGUGUGCCUCUCUCUGACAACAGUGAUUGGAUAUGUCUUUUAUCCACUAGUUUUGAUUUUGACUUGUUUUGAUUGCUGACAGUCCUGCUAUGCAUCUUGCCUUUUCGACAAUCUGCACAGAUCCCAGCUUCAUUCAGAAGUCUGAAGGGCACAAUCCCAUACCUCUCUUGUACUGAGGAGCAUGAUUUUUAACCUG
RNAcentral lists this long non-coding RNA (317 nucleotides) under Lepidothrix coronata (blue-crowned manakin). RNAcentral's name for it is "lncRNA (ENSLCOG00000010989.1)". The record is from RNAcentral. Lineage: Eukaryota; Metazoa; Chordata; Aves; Passeriformes; Pipridae.